GAUGAACGCUAGCUACAGGCUUAACACAUGCAAGUCGCGGGGCAGCAUGGGGGUUGCUUGCAAUCCCCGAUGGCGACCGGCGCACGGGUGAGUAACGCGUAUCCAACCUGCCCUUCACCACGGGAUAACCCGGCGAAAGUCGGACUAAUACCGUAUGUUGUCCAUUGACGGCAUCCGAUUUGGACGAAAGGCUUGGCGGUGAGGGAUGGGGAUGCGUCCGAUUAGCCAGACGGCGGGGUAACGGCCCACCGUGGCUACGAUCGGUAGGGGUUCUGAGAGGAAGGUCCCCCACACUGGAACUGAGACACGGUCCAGACUCCUACGGGAGGCAGCAGUGAGGAAUAUUGGGCAAUGGGCGUAAGCCUGAACCAGCCAAGUAGCGUGCAGGAUGACGGCCCUAUGGGUUGUAAACUGCCUUUAUGCGGGGAUAAAGUGGCCCACGUGUGGGCUUUUGCAGGUACCGCAUGAAUAAGGACCGGCUAAUUCCGUG
Molecule: ribosomal RNA, 490 nt
Filed under: uncultured bacterium
Lineage: Bacteria
Description: partial 16S ribosomal RNA
Rfam family: Bacterial small subunit ribosomal RNA
Source: RNAcentral